Molecule: ribosomal RNA, 492 nt
Filed under: uncultured bacterium
Lineage: Bacteria
Description: partial 16S ribosomal RNA
Rfam family: Bacterial small subunit ribosomal RNA
Source: RNAcentral
AGUGAACGCUGGCGGUAGGCCUAACACAUGCAAGUCGAACGGCAGCACAGUAAGAGCUUGCUCUUACGGGUGGCGAGUGGCGGACGGGUGAGGAAUACAUCGGAAUCUACUUUUUCGUGGGGGAUAACGUAGGGAAACUUACGCUAAUACCGCAUACGACCUACGGGUGAAAGCAGGGGAUCUUCGGACCUUGCGCGAUUGAAUGAGCCGAUGUCGGAUUAGCUAGUUGGCGGGGUAAAGGCCCACCAAGGCGACGAUCCGUAGCUGGUCUGAGAGGAUGAUCAGCCACACUGGAACUGAGACCCGGUCCAGGCUCCUACGGGAGGCAGCAGUGGGGAAUAUUGGACAAUGGGCGCGAGCCUGAUCCAGCCAUACCGCGUGGGUGAAGAAGGCCUUCGGGUUGUAAAGCCCUUUUGUUGGGAAAGAAAAGCAGCAGGUUAAUACCCCGCUGUUCUGACGGUACCCAAAGAAUAAGCACCGGCUAACUUCGUG